Molecule: ribosomal RNA, 468 nt
Filed under: uncultured bacterium
Lineage: Bacteria
Description: partial 16S ribosomal RNA
Rfam family: Bacterial small subunit ribosomal RNA
Source: RNAcentral
GACGAACGCUGGCGGCGUGCUUAACACAUGCAAGUCGAACGGAAAGGCCCUGCUUUUGUGGGGUGCUCGAGUGGCGAACGGGUGAGUAACACGUGAGUAACCUGCCCUUGACUUUGGGAUAACUUCAGGAAACUGGGGCUAAUACCGGAUAGGAGCUCCUGCUGCAUGGUGGGGGUUGGAAAGUUUCGGCGGUUGGGGAUGGACUCGCGGCUUAUCAGCUUGUUGGUGGGGUAGUGGCUUACCAAGGCUUUGACGGGUAGCCGGCCUGAGAGGGGGACCGGGCACAUUGGGACUGAGAUACGCCCCAGACUCCUACGGGAGGCAGCAGUGGGGAAUAUUGCGCAAUAGGCGGAAGCCUGAUGCAGCAACGCCGCGUGCGGGAUGACGGCCUUCGGGUUGUAAACCGCUUUCGCCUGUGACGAAGCGUGAGUGACGGUAAUGGGUAAAGAAGCACCGGCUAACUACGUG